GGCCGUGUGGCGAAAUGGCAUCGCGUCUGACUACGACGUGCUCUUAUCAGGAGAUUGCAGGUUCGACCCCUGUCUCGGUCA
Non-coding RNA from Galerina marginata CBS 339.88, 81 nucleotides. The record is from Rfam. Lineage: Eukaryota; Fungi; Basidiomycota; Agaricomycetes; Agaricales; Galerinaceae.